RNAcentral lists this ribosomal RNA (435 nucleotides) under uncultured bacterium. Its description in RNAcentral is "bacterial SSU rRNA". It matches the Rfam family "Bacterial small subunit ribosomal RNA", at positions 355 to 787 of the family's 1533-position model. The record is from RNAcentral.
UGAGGAAUAUUGGUCAAUGGGAGGAAUCCUGAACCAGCCAUGCCGCGUGCAGGACGACGGCUCUACGAGUUGUAAACUGCUUUUGUACCGGGGUAAAAUGCUCUACGAGUAGGGUUUUGAAAGUACGGUACGAAUAAGGAUCGGCUAACUCCGUGCCAGCAGCCGCGGUAAUACGGAGGAUCCGAGCGUUAUCCGGAUUCAUUGGGUUUAAAGGGUGCGUAGGUUGUUUUAUAAGUUAGCGGUGAAAUACCGAUGCUCAACAUCGGGGCUGCCGCUAAUACUGUAGGACUAGAGAUCGGAUGCAGCAGGCGGAAUGUGUAGUGUAGCGGUGAAAUGCAUAGAUAUUGCGCAGAACUCCGAUUGCGAAGGCAGCGUACUGGCGCCUGACUGACGCUGAGGCACGAAAGCGUGGGGAUCGAACAGGAUUAGAUACCC